UCUGGCGGCAGUAGCGCGGUGGUCCCACCUGACCCCAUGCCGAACUCAGAAGUGAAACGCCGUAGCGCCGAUGGUAGUGUGGGGUCUCCCCA
Molecule: ribosomal RNA, 92 nt
Filed under: Escherichia coli
Lineage: Bacteria; Pseudomonadati; Pseudomonadota; Gammaproteobacteria; Enterobacterales; Enterobacteriaceae
Also listed under: 7 other names
Source: RNAcentral